Molecule: ribosomal RNA, 280 nt
Filed under: uncultured bacterium
Lineage: Bacteria
Description: partial 16S ribosomal RNA
Rfam family: Bacterial small subunit ribosomal RNA
Source: RNAcentral
ACUCCUACGGGAGGCAGCAGUGGGGAAUAUUGGACAAUGGGGGACCCGUAGCAUCCAGCCAUGCCGCGUGUGUGAAGAAGGCCUUUUGGUUGUAAAGCACUUUAAGCGAGGAGGAGGCUCCUGUAGAUAAUACCUACAGUGAGUGGACGUUACUCGCAGAAUAAGCACCGGCUAACUCUGUGCCAGCAGCCGCGGUAAUACAGAGGGUGCGAGCGUUAAUCGGAUUUACUGGGCGUAAAGCGUGCGUAGGCGGCUUCGUAAGUUGGAUGUGAAAUCCCCG